UAGGGAAUCUUCGGCAAUGGGGGCAACCCUGACCGAGCAACGCCGCGUGAGUGAAGAAGGUUUUCGGAUCGUAAAGCUCUGUUGUAAGAGAAGAACGUGUGUGAGAGUGGAAAGUUCACACAGUGACGGUAACUUACCAGAAAGGGACGGCUAACUACGUGCCAGCAGCCGCGGUAAUACGUAGGUCCCGAGCGUUGUCCGGAUUUAUUGGGCGUAAAGCGAGCGCAGGCGGUUUAAUAAGUCUGAAGUUAAAGGCAGUGGCUUAACCAUUGUUCGCUUUGGAAACUGUUAGACUUGAGUGCAGAAGGGGAGAGUGGAAUUCCAGGUGUAGCGGUGAAAUGCGUAGAUAUAUGGAGGAACACCGGUGGCGAAAGCGGCUCUCUGGUCUGUAACUGACGCUGAGGAUCGAAAGCGUGGGGAGCAAACAGG
Molecule: ribosomal RNA, 429 nt
Filed under: bacterium
Lineage: Bacteria
Description: partial 16S ribosomal RNA
Rfam family: Bacterial small subunit ribosomal RNA
Source: RNAcentral